GCAGUAUACAAGAUCAAUAUACAAAAACCAAUUGUGGCCUGCCUGGGUGGUUCAGUUGGUUAAGUGGCUGCCUUUGGCUCAGGUUGUGAUCUUGCGGUCCUGGGAUCGGGGUCCUGGGAUCUAGCCCUGCAUCAGGGUCCCUGCUCAAUGGGGAGUCUGCUUCUCCCUCUAACCUUCCUCUCGUUCAUCCGUUCUCUCUCUCAAAAUGAUAAAAUCUUAAAAAAGCUAACUGCAUUCUAGACAUUCGCAAGAAAUAAAUCUGAAAAUGAAAUUAAGAAAAUCGUCCCACUUAAAAGGACAUCAAAAAGUAUAAAUACUUAGAAAUAAACGGAACAAAAGAAGAACAAGACUUGCCCACUGAAAACUACAAAAUCUCAUUGGAAUUAAGAUGUAAAUAAAUGGGAAGACACCACGUGUUCAAAAAUUGUAAUAGUAUAGUUAAGACGGCAAUAUUCUUUUUUUUUUUUUUAAGAUUUUUAUUUAUUUAUUUGAGAGAGAGAGAGAGAGAACAUGAGAGGAGAGAAGUCAGCAGGAGAAGCAGACUCCCUGCUGAGCAGGGAGCCCGAUGUGGGCCUCGAUCCCAGGACUCCAGGAUCUUGACCCAAGCCGAAGGCAGUCCCCUAACCAACUGAGCCACCCAGGUGCCCAAGAUGUCACUAUUCUCCAUCUUACGUUUCCAGCUGAUCUACAGAUCAGCACAAUCUCUAUCAAGAUCUGCGGGAAACCGUUAAUAGAGCAGGCCCAGGAAUACUAUCAUUUCAAAACCCAGCUUCCAAGCUUGGCCCUUGGCUAGGAUCUGGGAAUUUGUGUUUGGGGAGGGUUCCACCACCCCAACUGAUAGGAGUAGCUCGGUGUGUCUAAACUUUAUGCAAACAACAUAGCUUACCGGCUUUCCUCCUGGGAAUAUGGAAUUUUGCUAGGCACUAGGCAGAAGGUGUCUGCAUGACAAGCUGCCUAAAAAACCUUUGGCGCAGUCUCUAAUGAGCUUCUCUCAUAGAUAACGUUUCACAGACAUCAUAACUCGUUACUGGGAAGUAAUGCUAAGUCAAGCUGGUCACAAAAGACCUUCGAUUGUAUGAUACUUUCUCUAGAUGUCCAGAACAGGCAAAUCCACAGAAGAGCAUCUACUACAUGUGAAGUCUGGAGUGUUGGAGCCAACUGGGCUGUUCAAUCAGGCAGUCUUUGAGUUGAACCUCUGAGUUGAACCUCACCGUUGCUACUUACCACCAGCACUGGGAUCACCUGAGGACUUCCAGCAAUGCAAAUUCUUGACCCAAUGAAUCAGAGACUUUGGGAAUGAGCUCUAGCAAUCUGCGUUUCCACAGCCCUCCAGCGGGAGGAGGAGCAGAGGGAGAGGGAAAAAGAGAAUCUGCAGCAGACUCCGUGUGGAGCACAGAGCCCAAAGCCGGCUCCAUCUCACAUCUGGAGACCAUGACCUGAGCCAAAAUCAAGAGUCGGACACUCAACUGACUGAGCCACCCAGCUAUCCCUAUGUUGGCUAUCAUUACUAUUAUUAUAAGCUAUUAUUAUCACCGGAAUAUGAAUUAUAAGCAAUUUUCCAAGUUCAUAUAAUUAUUGGGGAACAAGAUAUGGAAAGCUGGAUUAUCAAUGUAGAAUAUGUUCACAACAAAACUUUUUAAAGUCCCAAGAUGUACCAUUAUACAAAGUUUUAAGAAGAAUUUUAAAAUACUCUUGCUCUGAGACUUAAGACUACGUCGCAGCUGCACUACCCGCCCCACAGCUGCCUUUGAGUAGAAACCAAAGUGACUGCAAAAGGUCACAAGGUUCUGCCUUAUGGUUAAAAAGAGGAAAAAGUGAUGUGGAAAACAAAAGUAGUGCUGGGCCACACUUAAUAAAAAAGCAGCUAUAAAUGUUUGGGGGCUAAUGUCCACCAAGAGGAAAGUUCCGAUAGCAGCCCCUGGCUGGCUCAGUCGGAAAAGCGUGCACCUUUUGAUCUCAAGGUCAUGAGUUUGAACCUCACUUUGGAUAGAAAGGUCACUUAAGUUAAUAAAACUUAAAAAAGAAAAAAAUAAAGAUAAGUUCUAUUAGCAUAUACCUGUGGUCCUGUUGAUGUCGUUUUGGCAUGUAGGUGAGAGCUGAAGGCCAAGAAAGAACUCUUGACGGGCGCCUGGGUGGCUCAGUGGGUUAAGCCGCUGCCUUUGGCUCAGGUCGUGAUCUCAGGGUCCUGGGAUCAAGUC
Long non-coding RNA from Mustela lutreola (European mink), 2198 nucleotides. RefSeq lists it as uncharacterized. The transcript is spliced from 3 exons. The record is from RefSeq and is a predicted model, not a curated record. NCBI's taxonomy places the organism in Eukaryota, Metazoa, Chordata, Mammalia, Carnivora, Mustelidae.